This 371-nucleotide ribosomal RNA is filed under the name uncultured organism. Its description in RNAcentral is "bacterial SSU rRNA". It matches the Rfam family "Bacterial small subunit ribosomal RNA", at positions 527 to 896 of the family's 1533-position model. The record is from RNAcentral.
CAGAGGGGCGAGCGUUGUUCGGAAUUACUGGGCGUAAAGGGCGCGUAGGCGGCCUCUUAAGUCGAACGUGAAAUCCCCGGGCUCAACCCGGGAACUGCGUCCGAUACUGGGGGGCUUGAAUCCGGGAGAGGGAUGUGGAAUUCCAGGUGUAGCGGUGAAAUGCGUAGAUAUCUGGAGGAACACUGGUGGCGAAGGCGGCAUCCUGGACCGGUAUUGACGCUGAGGCGCGAAAGCCAGGGGAGCAAACGGGAUUAGAUACCCCGGUAGUCCUGGCCCUAAACGAUGAAUGCUUGGUGUGGCGGGUAUCGAUCCCUGCCGUGCCGAAGCUAACGCAUUAAGCAUUCCGCCUGGGGAGUACGGUCGCAAGGCUG